GAUGAACGCUGGCGGCGUGCCUAAUACAUGCAAGUCGAGCGAACAGACGAGGAGCUUGCUCCUCUGACGUUAGCGGCGGACGGGUGAGUAACACGUGGAUAACCUACCUAUAAGACUGGGAUAACUUCGGGAAACCGGAGCUAAUACCGGAUAAUAUAUUGAACCGCAUGGUUCAAUAGUGAAAGACGGUUUUGCUGUCACUUAUAGAUGGAUCCGCGCCGCAUUAGCUAGUUGGUAAGGUAACGGCUUACCAAGGCAACGAUGCGUAGCCGACCUGAGAGGGUGAUCGGCCACACUGGAACUGAGACACGGUCCAGACUCCUACGGGAGGCAGCAGUAGGGAAUCUUCCGCCAUGGGCGAAAGCCUGACGGAGCAACGCCGCGUGAGUGCUGAAGGUCUUCGGAUCGUAAAACUCUGUUAUUAGGGAAGAACAAAUGUGUAAGUAACUAUGCACGUCUUGACGGUACCUAAUCAGAAAGCCACGGCUAACUACGUG
This 497-nucleotide ribosomal RNA is filed under the name uncultured bacterium. RNAcentral's name for it is "partial 16S ribosomal RNA". It matches the Rfam family "Bacterial small subunit ribosomal RNA", at positions 28 to 507 of the family's 1533-position model. The record is from RNAcentral.